UGUAGAUUGAAAAACAUAUGGUUACAGAAGCAAUUAGAUCUAGCUGUAGAAAUCACCCUUUCCCACCAAAAAAAAAGAAUAAUAUUUACUUGCAAAGCUUAAUGUGGAGGUUUACAACUCGAACCUAAUCCUCUCUUAUGUUGAUCCUCUAGAAUAUAAAUGUUGUAACAUGUUUGUAUAAAAUUCUCAUUUGAGUCACAUUUAAUAACAAUAAUGUGACCAGAAAUGAUCCAUUAAGUCAACCAACAUUCCACUUGAAACACCAAAACUGAUUUUGGGACAAUUGGCAUGUAGGUGUUUCAAAGCAGUAUAAACCCUUACCAUGGUGCUCAAAAAAUCUCUCCUUUUCAGCCAUGCCAUCAAUUAUACUUGGCCACAUCAAUGCUGCUUCUGGACUCUCAUUCAGCUUCAUUGGCAUGGAAUUCACUAAUAUGUUAACUUCAUUCAACAUGUUGGCACAAGUAUAAAGUUUGAUCAUGCAAGUAUAAUGUUCUAAAAUAGGCGUAAUGCCAUAGCACUCUGUCAUAUAUUUGAAGUACCGAUCACCCUCUUCUACGUUAUUCAUCCGCACACAAGCACAUAAAACACCUACAAAAGUGAUUGCAUCUGGUUUAAUAUUUGCCUCCUCCAUCUGUGCAAAAACAGCAAGUGCCUCCUUGCCACAACCGUGCACCCCCAAGCUAGUGAUCAUCGAAUUCCAAGCAGCCAAACUCUUAACUUGCAUCUUAUCAAAUACUUGCUUGGCGUCCACCAAACUACCACAUUUGCUGUACAUGUCAAUAAGAGCAGUCCCAAGGAAAACCUCCAGUUUGAAUCCAUUUUUCAGAGCAUAGUCAUGAAGCCAGCUACCCAACUGGAGACUUCCCAGUUCAGUACAUGCUUUUAACAAGCCAACCAGCGUAAACUCAUUGGGCCUAACAUUAUAAAGCUGCAUUCUCCAUAACAAUUCAAACGCCUCCUCGGGGCAUUGGUUCUUCACAUACCCAUUAAUCAUUGCUGUCCAAGAAACAACAUUUCUCUUUGGCAUUUGGUCGAAAGGCCCACACGCAGCACCUAGUUCCCCACAAGCAACAAGUCCAGCAACGAAGGUGGUCCACGAAACAAC
This 1105-nucleotide unclassified non-coding RNA is filed under the name Hevea brasiliensis (rubber tree). Lineage: Eukaryota; Viridiplantae; Streptophyta; Magnoliopsida; Malpighiales; Euphorbiaceae. The record is from RNAcentral.